GGCGGCGUGCCUAAUACAUGCAAGUCGAACGCGCAGCGAAAGGUGCUUGCACCUUUCAAGCGAGUGGCGAACGGGUGAGUAACACGUGGAUAACCUGCCUCAAGGCUGGGGAUAACAUUUGGAAACAGAUGCUAAUACCGAAUAAAACUUAGUAUCGCAUGAUACAAAGUUGAAAGGCGCUACGGCGUCACCUAGAGAUGGGUCCGCGGUGCAUUAGUUAGUUGGUGGGGUAAAGGCCUACCAAGACAAUGAUGCAUAGCCGAGUUGAGAGACUGAUCGGCCACAUUGGGACUGAGACACGGCCCAAACUCCUACGGGAGGCUGCAGUAGGGAAUCUUCCACAAUGGGCGAAAGCCUGAUGGAGCAACGCCGCGUGUGUGAUGAAGGCUUUAGGGUCGUAAAGCACUGUUGUAUGGGAAGAAAUGCUAGAAUAGGGAAUGAUUCUAGUUCGACGGUACCAUACCAGAAAGGGACGGCUAAAUACGUGCCAGCAGCCGCGGUAAUACGUAUGUCCCGAGCGUUAUCCGGAUUUAUUGGGCGUAAAGCGAGCGCAGACGGUUGAUUAAGUCUGAUGUGAAAGCCCGGAGCUCAACUCCGGAAUGGCAUUGGAAACUGGUUAACUUGAGUGUUGUAGAGGUAAGUGGAACUCCAUGUGUAGCGGUGGAAUGCGUAGAUAUAUGGAAGAACACCAGUGGCGAAGGCGGCUUACUGGACAACAACUGACGUUGAGGCUCGAAAGUGUGGGUAGCAAACAGGAUUAGAUACCCUGGUAGUCCACACCGUAAACGAUGAAUACUAGGUGUUAGGAGGUUUCCGCCUCUUAGUGCCGAAGCUAACGCAUUAAGUAUUCCGCCUGGGGAGUACGAC
RNAcentral lists this ribosomal RNA (867 nucleotides) under Leuconostoc lactis. RNAcentral's name for it is "bacterial SSU rRNA". It matches the Rfam family "Bacterial small subunit ribosomal RNA", at positions 38 to 886 of the family's 1533-position model. The record is from RNAcentral. Lineage: Bacteria; Bacillati; Bacillota; Bacilli; Lactobacillales; Lactobacillaceae.